Molecule: ribosomal RNA, 497 nt
Filed under: uncultured bacterium
Lineage: Bacteria
Description: partial 16S ribosomal RNA
Rfam family: Bacterial small subunit ribosomal RNA
Source: RNAcentral
GAUGAACGCUGGCGGCGUGCCUAAUACAUGCAAGUCGAGCGAACGGACGAGAAGCUUGCUUCUCUGAUGUUAGCGGCGGACGGGUGAGUAACACGCGGAUAACCUACCUAUAAGACUAGGAUAACUUCGGGAAACCGGAGCUAAUACCGGAUGAUAUUUUGAACCGCAUGGUUCAAAAGUGAAAGACGGUCUUGCUGUCACUUAUAGAUGGAUCCGCGCUGCAUUAGCUAGUUGGUAAGGUAACGGCUUACCAAGGCAACGAUGCAUAGCCGACCUGAGAGGGUGAUCGGCCACACUGGAACUGAGACACGGUCCAGACUCCUACGGGAGGCAGCAGUAGGGAAUCUUCCGCAAUGGGCGAAAGCCUGACGGAGCAACGCCGCGUGAGUGAUGAAGGUCUUCGGAUCGUAAAACUCUGUUAUUAGGGAAGAACAUAUGUGUAAGUAACUGUGCACAUCUUGACGGUACCUAAUCAGAAAGCCACGGCUAACUACGUG